GUGCUUGCUUCAGCAGCACAUAUACUAAAAAUGGAAUGAUUCAGAGAACAUUAGCAUGACCCCUGAACAAGGAAGACCUGCAAAGUCACAAAGCAUUCCGUAUUUUU
This is a small nuclear RNA of Bison bison bison, 107 nucleotides long. NCBI's taxonomy places the organism in Eukaryota, Metazoa, Chordata, Mammalia, Artiodactyla, Bovidae. The record is from Ensembl.